This 477-nucleotide ribosomal RNA is filed under the name Veillonella parvula. RNAcentral's name for it is "bacterial SSU rRNA". It matches the Rfam family "Bacterial small subunit ribosomal RNA", at positions 28 to 474 of the family's 1533-position model. The record is from RNAcentral. Lineage: Bacteria; Bacillati; Bacillota; Negativicutes; Veillonellales; Veillonellaceae.
GACGAACGCUGGCGGCGUGCUUGACACAUGCAAGUCGAACGAAGAGCGAUGGAAGCUUGCUUCUAUCAAUCUUAGUGGCGAACGGGUGAGUAACGCGUAAUCAACCUGCCCUUCAGAGGGGGACAACAGUUGGAAACGACUGCUAAUACCGCAUACGAUCUAAUCUUGGCAUCGAGGAUAGAUGAAAGGUGGCCUCUACAUGUAAGCUAUCACUGAAGGAGGGGAUUGCGUCUGAUUAGCUAGUUGGAGGGGUAACGGCCCACCAAGGCGAUGAUCAGUAGCCGGUCUGAGAGGAUGAACGGCCACAUUGGGACUGAGACACGGCCCAGACUCCUACGGGAGGCAGCAGUGGGGAAUCUUCCGCAAUGGACGAAAGUCUGACGGAGCAACGCCGCGUGAGUGAUGACGGCCUUCGGGUUGUAAAGCUCUGUUAAUCGGGACGAAAGGCCUUCUUGCGAAUAGUGAGAAGGAUUGACG